CACGGAGUUAGCCGGUGCUUCUUCUGCGAGUAACGUCAAUCGACAAGGUUAUUAACCUUAUCGCCUUCCUCCUCGCUGAAAGUACUUUACAACCCGAAGGCCUUCUUCAUACACGCGGCAUGGCUGCAUCAGGCUUGCGCCCAUUGUGCAAUAUUCCCCACUGCUGCCUCCCGUAGGAGUCUGGACCGUGUCUCAGUUCCAGUGUGGCUGGUCAUCCUCUCAGACCAGCUAGGGAUCGUCGCCUAGGUGAGCCGUUACCCCACCUACUAGCUAAUCCCAUCUGGGCACAUCUGAUGGCAUGAGGCCCGAAGGUCCCCCACUUUGGUCUUGCGACGUUAUGCGGUAUUAGCUACCGUUUCCAGUAGUUAUCCCCCUCCAUCAGGCAGUUUCCCAGACAUUACUCACCCGUCCGCCGCUCGUCACCCGAGAGCAAGCUCUCUGUGCUACCGCUCGACUUGCAUGUGUUAGGCCUGCCGCAGCGUUCAA
This 486-nucleotide ribosomal RNA is filed under the name uncultured Enterobacteriaceae bacterium. RNAcentral describes it as "partial 16S ribosomal RNA". The record is from RNAcentral. Lineage: Bacteria; Pseudomonadati; Pseudomonadota; Gammaproteobacteria; Enterobacterales; Enterobacteriaceae.